GCCAGCAGCCGCGGUAAUACGGAGGGUGCAAGCGUUAAUCGGAAUUACUGGGCGUAAAGCGCACGCAGGCGGUUGGAUAAGUUAGAUGUGAAAGCCCCGGGCUCAACCUGGGAAUUGCAUUUAAAACUGUCCAGCUAGAGUCUUGUAGAGGGGGGUAGAAUUCCAGGUGUAGCGGUGAAAUGCGUAGAGAUCUGGAGGAAUACCGGUGGCGAAGGCGGCCCCCUGGACAAAGACUGACGCUCAGGUGCGAAAGCGUGGGGAGCAA
Molecule: ribosomal RNA, 265 nt
Filed under: Aeromonas enteropelogenes
Lineage: Bacteria; Pseudomonadati; Pseudomonadota; Gammaproteobacteria; Aeromonadales; Aeromonadaceae
Description: partial 16S ribosomal RNA
Rfam family: Bacterial small subunit ribosomal RNA
Source: RNAcentral